Xiphias gladius (swordfish) is the source of this 1348-nucleotide long non-coding RNA. RefSeq lists it as uncharacterized. The record is from RefSeq and is a predicted model, not a curated record. Lineage: Eukaryota; Metazoa; Chordata; Actinopteri; Istiophoriformes; Xiphiidae. The transcript has 5 exons.
ACAGCAACUCCCGCCCUUCUGACUACUCCUUUUAAUGUUACUUAGACUUAAUGAAUUAAUGAAUUAAUUAAUUACAGCAAAAAUCAAAACAAAAAGAUUAGAAACUUUGACCAGAUGUGUAUUUGAUUGAAGAAAUCCACUGUGAAGGAGGUGGCGGUCCCAUCAGGAUCUGGACAGCAGUUUUCCAGGGCCCAGGUCAACUAUGAAAAAGAACAUACACGGAAACGUUGGUGAAAUGGUCCGGCUUAGUGUAUCUACUGGGAACGCUCUACUCUCCCAGGCGCUCUGAACUACCCGCGGGCUCCGUGUAUCUGCUGGACCACUGGGCGCGUUGUUUGAAAGACGGGCACCUGAGUGGGGUUAUGUCCGUCACUGGACAGAUGAUGAAAUCAGGAAAGAUUCGUGUCCAUCCAAGCCUUGAAGUCACCAAGCUCUUUUCUGGCGGCUCGGGGUAUCCUGCGUUCGUCUCUUUGCUGAUGAUUGGCUCCUGGUCUAUGUGAUGUAAUUGUGUACUGACACACCCAGGAGUACACCUCCAUAUCACUGAAGCAACAUGAGACGUUCCACCACCAGAGGUAAUUUCACAGCUGUUGUGGUGGACAGAGAGUGUCAGUGGAGACACUGAUGUGUGAUUUCAUCAUUUCUACUGCAUCAUUUCUCAGUAAUGAGCCCCAGCGGAGCUCCUCUCCUUAUCGGCUUCAUCAACAGCAGCUGUUUCCAUCUGUAACACAACACAAGGCCAGACCCCAGACCCCAGACCCCAGAGGCCAGGGUCUGUGUGGACACUUGGACGCUCUGGCGGCGAUAACCUAGGGGGCAGUGUCUCCAUGGGUACGGCUGAGAAGCUUCAGGCCUUUGCUUCGGUUGUCUAAGGUCUGUUUCUCCUCGAGGACUUUGUUCUUGCGUACUGCGUCCACUCCAUGUAAAGUCAGAUUUCAGCUCGUGUGAUUCACAUGAAGCUCAGUAAUCUGACGUCGCCAUGGUUUAACUGACCAUACACGCAUUUUUAACUACAUCAGCUCCUUCCCACACUCUGCUGCAGCCUUUGGCUUCAGUUCAUUUCUGUUGGCAGGGUUUCCCACAGGUUUGAACUAUACUCGGGGUGUGAGCAGGGGCAGGUGUAGAAACUUUUGAAAUGGGGCGACCAAACUGGGGCACACCUGGCCUGUCCAGUUACUUUUGAGCCUCUGAAAAUGAGGACUAUGUAUAUAAAUGGCUGUAACUCCUAAAUGUUUAAUGUGAUAUUUUUGUUGAACCCCUCUGUUGUGGUGUGCAGAGGCACAGUUAUGAAAAUUGUGUCACUGUCCAAAUACUUAGGGACAUAACUGUAAGUCGGUUGUUCUGGCCA